UGGGGAAUAUUGCACAAUGGGCGCAAGCCUGAUGCAGCCAUGCCGCGUGUGUGAAGAAGGCCUUCGGGUUGUAAAGCACUUUCAGCGGGGAGGAAGGCGUUAAGGUUAAUAACCUCAUCGAUUGACGUUACCCGCAGAAGAAUCACCGGCUAACUCCGUGCCAGCAGCCGCGGUAAUACGGAGGGUGCAAGCGUUAAUCGGAAUUACUGGGCGUAAAGCGCACGCAGGCGGUCUGUCAAGUCGGAUGUGAAAUCCCCGGGCUCAACCUGGGAACUGCAUUCGAAACUGGCAGGCUAGAGUCUUGUAGAGGGGGGUAGAAUUCCAGGUGUAGCGGUGAAAUGCGUAGAGAUCUGGAGGAAUACCGGUGGCGAAGGCGGCCCCCUGGACGAAGACUGACGCUCAGGUGCGAAAGCGUGGGGAGCAAACAGG
This 429-nucleotide ribosomal RNA is filed under the name Chloroflexota bacterium. RNAcentral describes it as "Chloroflexi bacterium partial 16S ribosomal RNA". It matches the Rfam family "Bacterial small subunit ribosomal RNA", at positions 355 to 776 of the family's 1533-position model. The record is from RNAcentral. Lineage: Bacteria; Bacillati; Chloroflexota.